CUGACAACCAGGCUGCAGCCCAGGCUCUGCCCCACGGGCAGCACUUGCUGGGCAGCUGAAGGUGCUGUAAAAGGUGCUUCAGCUCUGUCGUGCCAGGCACACAGACAGGGCUCAGCCCUCCUACUGCCAGGUGCUCUGAGCACCCCUUCAGUGCUGGGUGCAGACAGGAGGGAACCAGGUCCCUCUGCCCCUGCUGGCAUCUCACAAAUGGAUUCCUGUGAAGAUGUGAAAGGCUGCCGCUUGCACUUCUCUGGUAAAGAAGCAUAAAAGCAGCUUUAGCAACAGCUGAAGAAGAAAGGGAUGGGUCUUCCUGUCAUGGAGACAGAGUAGCUCGCUUGAAAUCCCCUGUUACAACUGCUGAAGGCCCAGGACUUCCAUCAGGAGGUGGAUGAUCACCACUUCAGUCAGGAAAAAUGUUCAGAUCCUCAGGCAGACAGACCUGCCACCCCCUGACGCUGCAGACACUCAGCAGUGACUGGAGGUGUUGGUCAAAGAGGGCUCCUGCACUGAGCCCCCCGGCAGUCCCCAUGCACCCAUUGCAGGAUGCUCAUCACCUCCCCCAGAACUCCAGCACUCAGAAGGUUUUGUUAGCACCUUCUGCUUUUUGGCAGAAUGGUUUGUUUUACCUUCACAGAUCAUUAAAUCUCUAUUGAUUUCAAACAA
Molecule: non-coding RNA, 663 nt
Organism: Cyanistes caeruleus (blue tit)
Lineage: Eukaryota; Metazoa; Chordata; Aves; Passeriformes; Paridae
Source: RefSeq, a predicted model, not a curated record